UAACGAGCGCAACCCCUACCCUUUAGUUGCCAUCAGGUUAAGCUGGGGACGUCUAAAGGAACUGCCUACGCAAGUAGUGAGGAAGGCGGGGAGUGACGUCAAAUCAGCACGGCCCUUACGUCCAGGGCUACACACGUGCUACAAUGGCCGAUACAGAGGGCAGCUACCUGGUGACAGGAUGCAAAUCUCCAAAGUCGGUCUCAGUUCGGAUCGGAGUCUGCAACCCGACUCCGUGAAGCUGGAUUCGCUAGUAAUCGCGCAUCAGCCACGGCGCGGUGAAUACGUUCCCGGGCCUC
Molecule: ribosomal RNA, 296 nt
Filed under: uncultured Sphingobacteriales bacterium
Lineage: Bacteria; Pseudomonadati; Bacteroidota; Sphingobacteriia; Sphingobacteriales
Description: partial 16S ribosomal RNA
Rfam family: Bacterial small subunit ribosomal RNA
Source: RNAcentral